AGUCGAGCGACAGAUAAGGAGCUUGCUCCUUUGACGUUAGCGGCGGACGGGUGAGUAACACGUGGGUAACCUACCUAUAAGACUGGGAUAACUUCGGGAAACCGGAGCUAAUACCGGAUAAUAUUUCGAACCGCAUGGUUCGAUAGUGAAAGAUGGUUUUGCUAUCACUUAUAGAUGGACCCGCGCCGUAUUAGCUAGUUGGUAAGGUAACGGCUUACCAAGGCGACGAUACGUAGCCGACCUGAGAGGGUGAUCGGCCACACUGGAACUGAGACACGGUCCAGACUCCUACGGGAGGCAGCAGUAGGGAAUCUUCCGCAAUGGGCGAAAGCCUGACGGAGCAACGCCGCGUGAGUGAUGAAGGUCUUCGGAUCGUAAAACUCUGUUAUUAGGGAAGAACAUACGUGUAAGUAACUGUGCACGUCUUGACGGUACCUAAUCAGAAAGCCACGGCUAACUACGUGCCAGCAGCCGCGGUAAUACGUAGGUGGCAAGCGUUAUCCGGAAUUAUUGGGCGUAAAGCGCGCGUAGGCGGUUUUUUAAGUCUGAUGUGAAAGCCCACGGCUCAACCGUGGAGGGUCAUUGGAAACUGGAAAACUUGAGUGCAGAAGAGGAAAGUGGAAUUCCAUGUGUAGCGGUGAAAUGCGCAGAGAUAUGGAGGAACACCAGUGGCGAAGGCGACUUUCUGGUCUGUAACUGACGCUGAUGUGCGAAAGCGUGGGGAUCAAACAGGAUUAGAUACCCUGGUAGUCCACGCCGUAAACGAUGAGUGCUAAGUGUUAGGGGGUUUCCGCCCCUUAGUGCUGCAGCUAACGCAUUAAGCACUCCGCCUGGGGAGUACGACCGCAAGGUUGAAACUCAAAGGAAUUGACGGGGACCCGCACAAGCGGUGGAGCAUGUGGUUUAAUUCGAAGCAACGCGAAGAACCUUACCAAAUCUUGACAUCCUUUGACAACUCUAGAGAUAGAGCUUUCCCCUUCGGGGGACAAAGUGACAGGUGGUGCAUGGUUGUCGUCAGCUCGUGUCGUGAGAUGUUGGGUUAAGUCCCGCAACGAGCGCAACCCUUAAGCUUAGUUGCCAUCAUUAAGUUGGGCACUCUAAGUUGACUGCCGGUGACAAACCGGAGGAAGGUGGGGAUGACGUCAAAUCAUCAUGCCCCUUAUGAUUUGGGCUACACACGUGCUACAAUGGACAAUACAAAGGGCAGCGAAACCGCGAGGUCAAGCAAAUCCCAUAAAGUUGUUCUCAGUUCGGAUUGUAGUCUGCAACUCGACUACAUGAAGCUGGAAUCGCUAGUAAUCGUAGAUCAGCAUGCUACGGUGAAUACGUUCCCGGGUCUUGUACACACCGCCCGUCACACCACGAGAGUUUGUAACACCCGAAGCCGGUGGAGUAACCAUUGGAGCUAGCCGUCGAAGGUGG
This 1422-nucleotide ribosomal RNA is filed under the name Staphylococcus haemolyticus. RNAcentral's name for it is "16S ribosomal RNA". It matches the Rfam family "Bacterial small subunit ribosomal RNA". The record is from RNAcentral. Lineage: Bacteria; Bacillati; Bacillota; Bacilli; Caryophanales; Staphylococcaceae.